ACCGUAGUUUACUACACCGUAUUCUGUGAGUUGCAAACGGGUGAGUAACGCGUAGGUAACCUGCCUGGUAGCGGGGGAUAACUAUUGGAAACGAUAGCUAAUACCGCAUAAGAACAUUUACUGCAUGGUAGAUGUUUAAAAGGUGCAGAAGCAUCACUACCAGAUGGACCUGCGUUGUAUUAGCUAGUUGGUGAGGUAACGGCUCACCAAGGCAACGAUACAUAGCCGACCUGAGAGGGUGAUCGGCCACACUGGGACUGAGACACGGCCCAGACUCCUACGGGAGGCAGCAGUAGGGAAUCUUCGGCAAUGGGGGGAACCCUGACCGAGCAACGCCGCGUGAGUGAAGAAGGUUUUCGGAUCGUAAAGCUCUGUUGUUAAGGAAGAACGUGUGUGAGAGUGGAAAGUUCACACAGUGACGGUACUUAACCUGAAAGGGACGGCUAACUACGUGCCAGCAGCCGCGGUAAUACGUAGGUCCCGAGCGUUGUCCGGAUUUAUUGGGCGUAAAGCGAGCGCAGGCGGUUAGAUAAGUCUGAAGUGAAAGGCAGUGGCUCAACCAUUGUAGGCUUUGGAAACUGUUUAACUUGAGUGCAGAAGGGGAGAGUGGAAUUCCAUGUGUAGCGGUGAAAUGCGUAGAUAUAUGGAGGAACACCGGUGGCGAAAGCGGCUCUCUGGUCUGUAACUGACGCUGAGGCUCGAAAGCGUGGGGAGCGAACAGGAUUAGAUACCCUGGUAGUCCACGCCGUAAACGAUGAGUGCUAGGUGUUAGGUCCUUUCCGGGACUUAG
This 790-nucleotide ribosomal RNA is filed under the name uncultured Streptococcaceae bacterium. RNAcentral describes it as "bacterial SSU rRNA". It matches the Rfam family "Bacterial small subunit ribosomal RNA", at positions 66 to 843 of the family's 1533-position model. Lineage: Bacteria; Bacillati; Bacillota; Bacilli; Lactobacillales; Streptococcaceae. The record is from RNAcentral.